Molecule: long non-coding RNA, 371 nt
Organism: Perognathus longimembris pacificus (Pacific pocket mouse)
Lineage: Eukaryota; Metazoa; Chordata; Mammalia; Rodentia; Heteromyidae
Exons: 3
Source: RefSeq, a predicted model, not a curated record
UUUUACAUCAUUCAUGAGAUAGGGCAAACUGUAAGAAAUGUUGAGGUAAAAUGGACAGUGUAGUUUUAGGCAAGCAAAUUAGGUUUCCUUUUCAAAGGUUCUAAAUCUGUCAUAAUGGAAACAUGAAGCAAUAGCAGCCUAAGGGACAAAACUUAGAAGCACAGGAAACAAGACUCAUUCAGUUUGCCUUUCCCAACUAUGUCAGGUCAGGUGAGCUUUGGAAUAUUAAAUCUGUCACAUUAUUCCAGGGCUCAGCCUAGGCAAUUUUGGGACUUUCUCUACCAAAAGAAGAAAUCCUAUCACCCCAGUUACUCACAUAAGACAAAGUGUUGCCAGUCUUAUCCAACUCUAAUCUCCCCUAUUUCUGGACC